This is a non-coding RNA of Musa acuminata subsp. malaccensis (wild Malaysian banana), 983 nucleotides long. The record is from RefSeq and is a predicted model, not a curated record. Lineage: Eukaryota; Viridiplantae; Streptophyta; Magnoliopsida; Zingiberales; Musaceae.
AUGUUAUCAUGUUUAUGUUUUCAGAGCUAUUUGGCAAAGAGCCCUACCAUGGAGCAGCAUCUCGCUCAUGAUAAAGACCUGAUGAGCCAAGGAAUCGUCAUGAAAAUAUCAACAACCUGUUCAUUAGCCAUUUCUGGAUCCGUUUGGUGAUACAGAAUUUUCGUUGGCUGGAUUCUUCAUGUCAAAGUGUGCUUUCUCGUGAUAUUUGGUUGACAUGGAUAUGGCAAAAAUAAGUUUGUUCAGACUCGGUCGUGAUUGUUGAGGUUUGGUCAUGGUUGAUUUGAAGAACAGGCAGGAAAAUUACCAUCACCGGAAGGUAAUGACUACGACUAUGCCCUUAAGAUCAAGACAUGCUGAACAUCCAGAUUUACAUUAGGCCUGAGCAUGAAACUUGAACGGUGAUGAGACUAGUAGCAGCGUUUGAAUGGAGUCUGAGCUGGGAGAAGCCCACUCUUUUGUCAAGGAUGGAAUGGCACUCCACAUUUGUCCUUUCGUGGCAGAUGGAGGAAAUUAAAUGGUCCUUAGUGGAGACACUCUUUGUCUUCUUCCGGUAGCUUUUGUUUCCUCCCUUUCCUACAAGGCUGCUGCCUCUCUUAGGGAAGAGAUUUCAUCUGCUCCUGCUUCUACGGAGUUCAUCUAGUACAGAAGAAUGGCAGACAGAUAGAAUUAAAGUCGAUUUCAGGAAACCCAAUGAGGUCGCACCACAUCAGCACUGCCCACGCGUUAGGGCACCAUGCAGGGCCCCACGUGAUUUAAGUUGGGAUGGUGAGAUGGCAGCAUCCACCUUCCGUCCGCUGUCCAAGAAUGCAUCUCACAAAUGCAGCUGAAGUGACGGAGACAAGGAUGUUUAUCUAAUCGGCUGAACCUUGAUGGUUUGAUUAGGCUCAGGGAAUCAUACAGCUCAGCUUCGAGAUGUUCGUUGCCGCCCAUGGGAAAAGUCCGAGUGCUCCUGACUGUAGCAGUGGAUAAGGAAGUGCUUGUGA